Molecule: long non-coding RNA, 2863 nt
Filed under: Elaeis guineensis (African oil palm)
Lineage: Eukaryota; Viridiplantae; Streptophyta; Magnoliopsida; Arecales; Arecaceae
Description: long non-coding RNA (EGUI_LNC003278)
Source: RNAcentral
UCCGCGCAGUCUCCAAAUCGCUGUUGUUUAUAAACCUGAUGAUCAAAUGAUUUUGAGAAACAACAUCUGGACGUUGCAUUCUACAAAACACUUUAUGAGCAUCAUGGCAAGCAAGGCACUUUGCAUACAUUCGAAUAAGAGAUCUCUGAACAAAAACAUCACAAAGGAGACCUCUUUUGACGGCCUGUGCGUGGAGCGAUCAAUCAGCUCGGGGAUGGACCAGAACUCAUCAACGAGGCAGCAGAGGCAGAGGCCAGGGAGGUUGACGAGGGCCUCCUAGGUAGAGAUGGUAGAGCAGGCGAGAAGAGAGCCAAGCUUGAGGAAGGGGUGGAAGCAAGGUUGGGGGUCUGGAAGUAGCAUACGGUGAGGGAGAGCAGCCUCCAACAUAACGACACCUUGUGGAGAAGAACAAAGAAGAAGAACUAAGGUUAGGGAUCAAGUUGAGAAGUCUUGUAGUGAGAGCAGCGGAGUCCAUUUUCUCUUUUAUGUAGAAGGAAAGGGAGGAACGAAGGAAAAAGAAAGGAAGAUGAAAGUAAAGGGUAAGUUCGAUAUUUUUUAAAAUAAGAUGACGUCAAAAAGAUGUUUUGUUACUGUAGUAUAAAAGAAUGGACGGGAGUUAAAAGUUUUGGUCAACAAAAAUAUUUUGUUAGAAUGAAGUCAAAAAAGGGACCAGAAGUUAAUUACCUAUUAUUUUUGUUCCUCGAAUACAUUUGAAUAGGAAUCUAGUUAAUUUAUGUCAAUAAAGAAUGCCAAGAAAGUGUUAUGGUUCAGACACUGAUGGCAAAUUGGUCACCAUCUGCACUUUUUUUAAGAGAGCAAAAAAAAAAAACAUUCAGGUGCACAUUUUGUAGCUCAUACUACAUAACCCUCGCGUCUUUUUAGAAUGGAGAUUAAGCUGCAUCUCGUUUAUCAGCUAUACAUUGGAUGCGCAAUUUUGUAGACUCCGUGCAAGCUGCCAACUAGCCGUUCUUUUUAUCGUCUAAUACGUGUUAUACAGCUCAUAUUGUAUUAUAUUUUUAUUUUUCAGACCAACUAGAGGAAUGCUAUAAAUCAUUCCAAAGAAUGAUAGAAGAACCAUUCUGACAUCCUAACUUAGCAACUUCCACGCUACCACAUCUCGAGUACCCAAAUAUCAAUGAAUUCUAUGAAAACUGAUUCCUCUUGGGCAUUGCAUCAAAGAGGUCCUGAGCAAUCUCCUUCAGCCCAUAUCUCGCAUACCCAUCAACCAUAAUGCUCCAAAAAACCAUAUCUCUUAUCCAUUCCAUCGAAAACCUUCCGCACAGUCUCCAAAUCGCCGUUGUUUAUAAACCUGAUGAUCAAAUGAUUCUGAGAAACAACAUCUAGAUGUUGCAUUCUGCAAAACACUUUAUGAGCAUCAUGGCAAGCAAGGCACUUUGCAUACAUUCGAACAAGAGAUCUCUGAACAAAAACAUUACAAAGGAGGCCUCUUUUGAUGGCCUGUGCGUGGAGCGAUCAAUCAGCUUGGGAAUGGACCAGAACUCAUCAACGAGGCAGCAGAAGCAGAGGCCAGGGAGGUUGACGAAGGCCUCCUAGGUAGAGAUGGUAGAGCAGGCGAGAAGAGAGCCAAGCUUGGGGAAGGGGUGGGAGCAAGGUGGAGGGUCUGGAAGUAGCAUACGGUGAGGGAGAGCAGCCUCCAACAUGGCCGACACCUUAUGAAAAAGAACAAAGAAGAAGAACUAGGGUUAGAGAUCAAGUUGAGAAGCUUUGUAGUGAGAGCAGCGGAGUCCAUUUUCUCUUUUAUGUUGAAGGAAAGGGAGGAACGAAGAAAAAAGAAAGGAAGAUGAAAGUAAAGGGUAAGUUCGAUAUUUUUUAAAAUAAGAUGACGUCAAAAGGAUAUUUUAUUACUGUAGUAUAAACGAAUGGACGGGAGUUAAAAAUUUUGGUCAACAAAAAUAUUUUGUUAGAAUGAAGUCAAAAAAGGGACCAGCAGUUAAUUACCUAUUAUUUUUGUUCCUCGAAUACAUUUGAAUAGGAAUCUAGUUAAUUUAUGUCAAUAAAGAAUGCCAAGAAAGUGUUAUAGUUCGGACACUGAUGGUAAACUGGUCACCAUCUGUACUUUUUUUAAGAGAGCAAAAAAAAAAAGUUCGGGUGCACAUUUUGUAGCUCAUACUACAUAACCCUCGUGUCUUUUUAGAAUGGAGAUCAAGCUACAUCUUGUUUAUCAGCUAUACAUUGGAUGCGCAAUUUUGUAGACUCCGCGCAAGCUGCCAACUAGCCGUUCUUUUUAUCGUCUAAUACGUGUUAUACAGCUCAUAUUGCAUUAUUUUUUUAUUUUUCAGACCAACUAGAAGAACGCUAUAAAUCAUUCCAAAGAAUGAUAGAAGAACCAUUCCGACAUCCUAACUUAGCAACUUCCACGCUACCACAUCUCGAGUACCCAAAUAUCAAUGAAUUCUAUGAAAACUGAUUCCUCUUGGGCAUUGCAUCAAAGAGGUCCUGAGCAAUCUCCUUCAGCCCAUAUCUCGCAUACCCAUCAACCAUAAUGCUCCAAGAAACUAUAUCUCUUAGCCAUUCCAUCGAAAACCUUCCGCACAAUCUCCAAAUCGCCGUUGUUUAUAAACCUGAUGGUCAAAUGAUUCUGAGAAACAACAUCUGGAUGUUGCAUUCUGCAAAACACUUUAUGAGCAUCAUGGCAAGCAAGGCACUUUGCAUACAUUCGAAUAAAAGAUCUCUGAACAAAAACAUUACAAAGGAGGCUUCUUUUGACGGCCUGUGCGUGGAGCGAUCAAUCAGCUCGGGGAUGGACCAGAACUCAUCAACGAGGCAGCAGAGGCAGAGGCCAGGGAGGUUGACGAGGGCCUCCUAGGUAGAGAUGGUAGAGCAGGCGAGAAGAGAGCCAAGC